RNAcentral lists this ribosomal RNA (209 nucleotides) under uncultured bacterium. RNAcentral's name for it is "partial 16S ribosomal RNA". It matches the Rfam family "Bacterial small subunit ribosomal RNA", at positions 568 to 774 of the family's 1533-position model. The record is from RNAcentral.
CGCGUAGGCGGGGAGGUAAGUCGGGUGUGAAAUCCCUCGGCCCAACCGAGGAAACUCGCGCCCGAGACUGCUUCUCUUGAGUCCCGGAGAGGAAGAUGGAAUUCCCGGUGUAGCGGUGAAAUGUGUAGAGAUCGGGAGGAACACCGGUGGCGAAGGCGGUCUUCUGGACGGUGACUGACGCUGAGGCGCGAAAGCGUGGGGAGCAAACG